RNAcentral lists this ribosomal RNA (513 nucleotides) under uncultured bacterium. RNAcentral describes it as "partial 16S ribosomal RNA". It matches the Rfam family "Bacterial small subunit ribosomal RNA", at positions 28 to 523 of the family's 1533-position model. The record is from RNAcentral.
GACGAACGCUGGCGGCGUGCCUAAUACAUGCAAGUUGAGCGCUGAAGGUUGGUACUUGUACCGACUGGAUGAGCAGCGAACGGGUGAGUAACGCGUGGGGAAUCUGCCUUUGAGCGGGGGACAACAUUCGGAAACGAAUGCUAAUACCGCAUAACAACUUUAAACACAAGUUUUAAGUUUGAAAGAUGCAAUUGCAUCACUCAAAGAUGAUCCCGCGUUGUAUUAGCUAGUUGGUGAGGUAAAGGCUAACCAAGGCGAUGAUACAUAGCCGACCUGAGAGGGUGAUCGGCCACAUUGGGACUGAGAAACGGCCCAAACUCCUACGGGAGGCAGCAGUAGGGAAUCUUCGGCAAUGGACGAAAGUCUGACCGAGCAACGCCGCGUGAGUGAAGAAGGUUUUCAGAUCGUAAAACUCUGUUGGUAGAGAAGAACGAUGGUGAGAGUGGAAAGCUCAUCAAGUGACGGUAACUACCCAGAAAGGGACGGCUAACUACGUGCCAGCCGCCGCCGUAA